GUUAAGUCCCGCAACGAGCGCAACCCCUACCUCUAGUUGCCAUCAAGUUUAGAUUUUAUCUAGAUGUUGGGUACUUUAUAGGGACUGCCGGUGAUAAUCCGGAGGAAGGUGGGGAUGACGUCAAGUCCUCAUGGCCCUUAUGGGCUGGGCUACACACGUGCUACAAUGGUGGUUACAAUGGGUUGCGAAGUCGCGAGGCGGAGCUAAUCCCAAAAGGCCAUCUCAGUUCGGAUUGCACUCUGCAACUCGAGUGCAUGAAGUUGGAAUCGCUAGUAAUCGCGGAUCAGCAUGCCGCGGUGAAUACGUUCUCGGGCCUUGUACACACCGCCCGUCACACCAUGGGAGUUGGUUUUGCUUGAAGACGGUGCGCUAACCGUAAGGAGGCAGCCGGCCACGGUAGGGUCAGCGACUGGGGUGAAGUCGUAACAAGGUAGCCGUAGGGGAACCU
This 448-nucleotide ribosomal RNA is filed under the name Candidatus Liberibacter psyllidaureus. RNAcentral describes it as "bacterial SSU rRNA". It matches the Rfam family "Bacterial small subunit ribosomal RNA", at positions 1079 to 1513 of the family's 1533-position model. Lineage: Bacteria; Pseudomonadati; Pseudomonadota; Alphaproteobacteria; Hyphomicrobiales; Rhizobiaceae. The record is from RNAcentral.